CUUGAGUUAUAAAUAUAAGAGGUCCCGCCUGCCCAGUGAUUAAAUUUAACGGCCGCGGUAUCCUAACCGUGCGAAGGUAGCGUAAUCACUUGUUCUUUAAAUGAGGACUAGUAUGAAUGGCACCACGAAGGUUUUACUGUCUCCUUUUCCUAAUCAGUGAAACUAAUCUUCCCGUGAAGAAGCGGGAAUAAACGAAUAAGACGAGAAGACCCUAUGGAGCUUUAAACAUGAUAACAAGUACUACUCUAAACAAAAAUUUCUUAAUGACUUACCCCCUGGUACCAUGAUUAUUAGUUUUAGGUUGGGGUGACCGCGGAGAAAAACACAACCUCCACAUUGAAUGAUAAAAUUCUAAGCAAAGAAUUACAUUUCCACGCAUCAAUACAUUGACAUCAAUUGACCCAAUUAUUUUGACCAACGAAC
This 423-nucleotide ribosomal RNA is filed under the name Atelopus hoogmoedi group sp. ABGD cluster 1. RNAcentral describes it as "partial large subunit ribosomal RNA". It matches the Rfam family "Bacterial large subunit ribosomal RNA", at positions 1832 to 2441 of the family's 2925-position model. The record is from RNAcentral. Lineage: Eukaryota; Metazoa; Chordata; Amphibia; Anura; Bufonidae.